CAGUCGCCGCGGGAAUACAGAGGGUGCAAGCGUUAAUCGGAAUUACUGGGCGUAAAGCGCGCGUAGGUGGUUUGUUAAGUUGGAUGUGAAAUCCCCGGGCUCAACCUGGGAACUGCAUCCAAAACUGGCAAGCUAUAGUAUGGUAGAGGGUGGUGGAAUUUCCUGUGUAGCGGUGAAAUGCGUAGAUAUAGGAAGGAACACCAGUGGCGAAGGCGACCACCUGGACUGAUACUGACACUGAGGUGCGAAAGCGUGGGGAGCAAACAGGAUUAGAUACCCCUGUAGUCCCUGUCUCUUAUAC
Molecule: ribosomal RNA, 301 nt
Filed under: uncultured bacterium
Lineage: Bacteria
Description: partial 16S ribosomal RNA
Rfam family: Bacterial small subunit ribosomal RNA
Source: RNAcentral